UGCACCACCUGAUUAGUGGCGAACGGGUGAGUAACACGUGAGUAACCUGCCCCCCACUUCGGGAUAACCUCGGGAAAUCGUGGCUAAUACCGGAUACGAGCACUCAUCGCAUGGUGGGUGCUGGAAAGAUUUAUCGGUGGGGGAUGGACUCGCGGCCUAUCAGUUUGUUGGUGAGGUGAUGGCUCACCAAGACGAUGACGGGUAGCCGGCCUGAGAGGGCGACCGGCCACACUGGGACUGAGACACGGCCCAGACUCCUACGGGAGGCAGCAGUGGGGAAUAUUGCACAAUGGGCGAAAGCCUGAUGCAGCGACGCCGCGUGGGGGAUGACGGCCUUCGGGUUGUAAACCCCUUUCAGUAGGGAAGAAGCGAGAGUGACGGUACCUGCAGAAGAAGCGCCGGCUAACUACGUGCCAGCAGCCGCGGUAAUACGUAGGGCGCAAGCGUUGUCCGGAAUUAUUGGGCGUAAAGAGCUUGUAGGUGGCUUGUCGCGUCUGCCGUGAAAACCCGAGGCUCAACCUCGGGCGUGCGGUGGGUACGGGCAGGCUAGAGUGUGGUAGGGGAGACUGGAACUCCUGGUGUAGCGGUGAAAUGCGCAGAUAUCAGGAAGAACACCGAUGGCGAAGGCAGGUCUCUGGGCCAUUACUGACA
This 651-nucleotide ribosomal RNA is filed under the name Brachybacterium sp. Its description in RNAcentral is "bacterial SSU rRNA". It matches the Rfam family "Bacterial small subunit ribosomal RNA", at positions 80 to 745 of the family's 1533-position model. Lineage: Bacteria; Bacillati; Actinomycetota; Actinomycetes; Micrococcales; Dermabacteraceae. The record is from RNAcentral.